AUUGUACUUUCUAGCCAUCAUAGAUAAUAAAGAUUAUCUACGCUAGCCAUAAAUCGAUAGGUUCAAGGUUUUUAGAUUAUAGAAGUAAUAGGAAACAUAGAUUUCUAUACAGUACUAGAUAGAGAACUCUCGCCAUGAAUUUUAAGCUUCAACGUCGGUUGGAAAUUGUAUGGUAUUUCAUAUGACAAAUAAGAUGGUAUUAUGAUUUAUUUUGUAUCGUAUUUUGUAUUAUAUUUUAUUUUAUUUAUAUCUUAAACCGUGGUUAUAGGCCGAUUUUUAACCUGUAUAUCUUAAAUAGCGCUCGAUGGUGGUAUCUUCACUUUUUAUGAUAACAAAAAUUAUCGCAUAUUUCGCAGAUAAUUUUUAUUGUUUAUACGCUUGGAUAGCAAUGACGUCACGCGUGUUAUCACUCAUAUCAGUAUUUCUGUUUUGGAUCCAAACAAAUCACUUUAACCAUAUAAAAUAAUACACUUUUUGUUUGAUGUUUAAUAAAGUUUUUUUAAAAGCCAAUGCUUACUUUUAAGCUACAAUAUAGAAGAACUGAUGAACCAAAAUCAGGCGCUAGGGUUUGUAGUUGUCAUUUUGAAAAUAACAAAAAAGAAAAUGAACCUACAAUUUUGCCUCAUCGUUCUUCAACAAUUUACCUUAAAUCAUUUGACUCCAGAAAAGAAAACGAGAAAAAAUUAUCUAAAUAAAUAAUUCAAAUGGAUGUCAUACCAGUUAAAUAUGAUGAUGAACUAUAGUUGUUAAUGAGUUAAUUACAAAUGAAAGUCCAUUAGAUUUGUCUACUCCUUCAAAAUCAAUUAUUUGUAAUUUUAGCACAGACUCAGUUAAAUCUUCAAACAUAGCUUCAAUUAUUCAUGAAUCUGAGAACUAUUUUCUCAAGGAGGAAAACAAAGCCAUGAAAUUAAACUUAAAACAAUUGAGUCUUUCAUUUAACUAUGAAAACUUAAGUCAAAAUAAUGAAUUAUUACAGUCUUAUACAGGUUUAUAUGUAUUAUGGAAUCAAAGAUAUUAAAGCAGAAAGGAGGCUCAUGUUGUGCUAUUGCUACUUGCAUAAAUAACUACUACAAAUCAAAAAAAUAUGGAAGAUCCAACAUAUAAUUUCACAGAUUUCCAAAAGAUCUUAACUAUCGGAAAGAAUGGGUUUCAGAAAUUCAAAAUAGGUGACCGUUUUAAACCUGAUACAUUAUUUAUUUCAUCUGAUCACUUUAAUGUUGUAUGAGACUUAAAAGCAGACCUUAUAGGUA
This 1250-nucleotide long non-coding RNA is filed under the name Acyrthosiphon pisum (pea aphid). RNAcentral describes it as "uncharacterized LOC103311739, transcript variant X2". The record is from RNAcentral. Lineage: Eukaryota; Metazoa; Arthropoda; Insecta; Hemiptera; Aphididae.